This 327-nucleotide unclassified non-coding RNA is filed under the name uncultured fungus. RNAcentral describes it as "partial contains small subunit ribosomal RNA, internal transcribed spacer 1, and 5.8S ribosomal RNA". The stretch from base 1 to 73 matches the Rfam family "Eukaryotic small subunit ribosomal RNA", at positions 1759 to 1831 of the family's 1831-position model. The record is from RNAcentral. Lineage: Eukaryota; Fungi.
GCAAACUUGGUCAUUUAGAGGAAGUAAAAGUCGUAACAAGGUUUCCGUAGGUGAACCUGCGGAAGGAUCAUUAACGAAUUUUAAAGUCGAUCGGUUGUGCUGGCAUUAACCCAACGCAUGUGCACGUCGAUCGGCAAACCAUCCACACACCUUGUGAACACCUAGACCACAGAGAGGUUCGUUGGGACUCCGACUUGAGCAACUCUGCUGGUACUUUUUCACACACUCUGCAUGUGAUUGGAAUGUUUUAGUGCUUUUAAGCAUGAUAAACAAAGAACAACUUUCAACAACGGAUCUCUUGGCUCUCGCAUCGAUGAAGAACGCAGC